This 22-nucleotide non-coding RNA is filed under the name Arabidopsis thaliana (thale cress). Lineage: Eukaryota; Viridiplantae; Streptophyta; Magnoliopsida; Brassicales; Brassicaceae. The record is from RNAcentral.
CGUCUUAGGCGGUUGCAACUGA